Olea europaea var. sylvestris is the source of this 800-nucleotide long non-coding RNA. RefSeq lists it as uncharacterized. The record is from RefSeq and is a predicted model, not a curated record. The transcript has 2 exons. NCBI's taxonomy places the organism in Eukaryota, Viridiplantae, Streptophyta, Magnoliopsida, Lamiales, Oleaceae.
AAGAAAAAUAGAAACACCUGAUUUUUGAAGUAUUUAAAAUGUAAGGUUUGUUUAAUUUUCGGAUAAUAAAGUUUGGUUCCUAUCCAUUGGGCCUAAUCUAGUUACAACUCAAUCCAAUGGGUCUAGUAAACUUGCCUCAGCCCCAAUUUCCUGGUUAGUCCCACUAACGAAAUGUCAUUCCAAUGUAAAAUUUGGAACCUUCCCCAAUGGCGAUUUUAGGAUCCCAAUUUGACGCUUAUCUUCCUUCAUCGUCACCCUGAGAUCCUGCUUUGAGGCUCAAGAUUUAUCACCGAGUGUAUUCACUAAUUUUCAAUUUGGAAUGUUCUGUAGAGAAGCAAAAACCUCAAACAGAUGGCCAUCCCGCUUGAUUCCUUCCUGCUUCAACACCCAUUCAUUUUGCUGUUGGUGAUCUCUUGCAAAGGGUUGAAUCGAGUCAACAUCAAAUCCUUCAAUUCUCCCCAAGUUUAUAGGGGUUGGCAAUGAUCUACCCAUUGCAACUAAGCCAUGCUUCUCCAUCAAGGUUCUUGAGAAUUAGCUGCAGAGAUUUCCAUGAUUGAUCUAAGCUUUCCAUGUCAUAUGGAUCUAAAAGUAGGGGUGUUUGUUCAUGUAAAGAGAGGUUUCCUGUGUCGGUAUGCAUGCUGGAUAAAGAUUUUUGGGGUUGAAAAGUUGAAGUUAAUUUGUUAAUUGUUGAAGAUGUAAUUUCCUGUGUCAAACCCUCAACACGAAGAGUGAUUAGCUGUCUUUAUCUGUGCGGCAAUGACUACCAUUAAGAAAUAAAGCUCGUUUUCUUUCUUUCUUUA